UGCAAGUCGAACGGUGAAGUCUCAGCUUGCUGGGAUGGAUCAGUGGCGAACGGGUGAGUAACACGUGAGCAACCUGCCCUCCACUUCGGGAUAAGCCUUGGAAACGGGGUCUAAUACCGGAUAUGAGCCUGCAUCGCAUGGUGUGGGUUGGAAAGUUUUUCGGUGGGGGAUGGGCUCGCGGCCUAUCAGCUUGUUGGUGGGGUGAUGGCCUACCAAGGCGUCGACGGGUAGCCGGCCUGAGAGGGCGACCGGCCACACUGGGACUGAGACACGGCCCAGACUCCUACGGGAGGCAGCAGUGGGGAAUAUUGCACAAUGGGCGCAAGCCUGAUGCAGCGACGCCGCGUGAGGGAUGACGGCCUUCGGGUUGUAAACCUCUUUCAGCAGGGAAGAAGCGCAAGUGACGGUACCUGCAGAAGAAGCGCCGGCUAACUACGUGCCAGCAGCCGCGGUAAUACGUAGGGCGCAAGCGUUGUCCGGAAUUAUUGGGCGUAAAGAGCUCGUAGGCGGUCUGUCGCGUCUGGUGUGAAAUCCCGAGGCUCAACCUCGGGCUUGCAUCGGGUACGGGCAGACUAGAGUGCGGUAGGGGAGACUGGAAUUCCUGGUGUAGCGGUGGAAUGCGCAGAUAUCAGGAGGAACACCGAUGGCGAAGGCAGGUCUCUGGGCCGCAACUGACGCUGAGGAGCGAAAGCAUGGGGAGCGAACAGGAUUAGAUACCCUGGUAGUCCAUGCCGUAAACGUUGGGCACUAGGUGUGGGGCUCAUUCCACGAGUUCCGUGCCGCAGCUAACGCAUUAAGUGCCCCGCCUGGGGAGUACGGCCGCAAGGCUAAAACUCAAAGGAAUUGACGGGGGCCCGCACAAGCGGCGGAGCAUGCGGAUUAAUUCGAUGCAACGCGAAGAACCUUACCAAGGCUUGACAUGCACCGGAAACACUCAGAGAUGGGUGCCCCGUAAGGUCGGUGCACAGGUGGUGCAUGGUUGUCGUCAGCUCGUGUCGUGAGAUGUUGGGUUAAGUCCC
This 1019-nucleotide ribosomal RNA is filed under the name Isoptericola sp. RNAcentral describes it as "bacterial SSU rRNA". It matches the Rfam family "Bacterial small subunit ribosomal RNA", at positions 56 to 1088 of the family's 1533-position model. The record is from RNAcentral. Lineage: Bacteria; Bacillati; Actinomycetota; Actinomycetes; Micrococcales; Promicromonosporaceae.